ACGCAGACGUCCGGGUUUCGUGACAGGCGAGCCGUUCGUAAAACUUGGUUCGUUGUCGACGAAACCUGCACGAUCUGCUA
RNAcentral lists this microRNA precursor (80 nucleotides) under Ooceraea biroi (clonal raider ant). RNAcentral describes it as "mir-981 microRNA precursor family". It matches the Rfam family "mir-981 microRNA precursor family". The record is from Rfam by way of RNAcentral. Lineage: Eukaryota; Metazoa; Arthropoda; Insecta; Hymenoptera; Formicidae.